GCUCGUAGUUGGAUUUCGGGUGGGGCCUGCCGGUCCGCCGUUUCGGUGUGCACUGGCAGGGCCCACCUUGUUGCCGGGGACGGGCUCCUGGGCUUCACUGUCCGGGACUCGGAGUCGGCGCUGUUACUUUGAGUAAAUUAGAGUGUUCAAAGCAGGCCUACGCUCUGAAUACAUUAGCAUGGAAUAACACGAUAGGACUCUGGCCUAUCCUGUUGGUCUGUAGGACCGGAGUAAUGAUUAAGAGGGACAGUCGGGGGCAUUCGUAUUUCAUUGUCAGAGGUGAAAUUCUUGGAUUUAUGAAAGACGAACUACU
This 313-nucleotide ribosomal RNA is filed under the name Chlorella vulgaris. RNAcentral describes it as "SSU rRNA". It matches the Rfam family "Eukaryotic small subunit ribosomal RNA", at positions 626 to 944 of the family's 1831-position model. Lineage: Eukaryota; Viridiplantae; Chlorophyta; Trebouxiophyceae; Chlorellales; Chlorellaceae. RNAcentral also lists the same sequence under 1 other name. The record is from RNAcentral.